Molecule: non-coding RNA, 794 nt
Organism: Pimephales promelas (fathead minnow)
Lineage: Eukaryota; Metazoa; Chordata; Actinopteri; Cypriniformes; Leuciscidae
Source: RefSeq, a predicted model, not a curated record
AAGAUGAUUAGGGUUAGUAGUCACCGGGGACGUCGACUAUCAGCAGGGGAGAGUGUAACCAGGUCAAAAGUUAUCAAACCAAUUACUGUACUGGUUAACUAAUGCUCUAGGAUAAGGGAAGUUACACCACAGACUGUUCCAGGGUUUUCUCAUUAAUUGAUAGAAUAGUACGCUAGCCCUUUAAGAAACGCGAUGUGUGACAUUCUGGAAGAAUCGCGAGAUUCUGCUGUGUACAGCGCGUGGUCACAACGUGAUUUGAAGUGCGGCUCAUGCGGUGGAGUGCUGAGGCCAUUAGACGCCGAUGUUACUGUUUAAAAAAAAAAAAGCACAUAUAGUAACUUGGAAGUCUCUCUUAGUGUGUUGUGAGGAUUGUGUGUUGUGCUGAGGGAACUUUGAAAUUCUGUCGACUCGAGAUGCAUACCUAUGUGGAGAAAUCCGAUCGACAAUAAAUCUCGAAGCAGGGGAGAGGAGUAUUCUUAAGGCCUCCUGAGUGUUUCCAGGCCGAGUGUGAAGCAACAGAAAGGAGAAUUGAGUUCAGCAUUCAAUGUGACAGUGUGUACAUGCUAUAAAGUGUGUUGAUGAACAGUAAGUUUAAUUUGAUUAUUAUAAUAAGAGUCAUUUGAUUAUUUCUUUGUGGAAUAUUAGAAUGUAUUAAUGUUACUGGGAAAUGUAACUUCAUUUUUACAUUUUUCAUGCAUCUUUUAUGUAAGAUAAGCAGCUUUAUUUGGUAUUCUGUGUUGACAAAUCUUGUAACAAUCUGUGUAUGUGUUUUUCAGAAUACGAGUCCACUAUCG